CAUCCCUAAAACACAAGAGAAGAAAAUUAUUCACAGUGACGUCAUGAGGAAGAAACACGGCCAGCCGCUUUCACGUAGACACAUGGGUCUUCGACCAAGGCUGCCCAGGCUCAGGGGUGAAAGCUCGUCAUGCAAGCCUGACAGUGAGAGCCCAAUGCAGAGCCCAUGGUGAGGAGUGGAGCUCAGUCCUCGAAGGCCGCCUCUGUCCUCACAGCACAUACAAUGUAAAGACUUCUCCUCCUUCCACAGCCAUCUCACUGAAAGCAACGAUGGAAGCGGGCCGUGUGGUCAACAUUCCUGCCACUGAAGCACACCAAAGCUAGCUGUUCCAAAAGGAGACUACCCUUCAACAAAAAGGGGCGACAAGCAGUGAAAUAAGAACCGGGGACUUGUGAGCUAUGGCCAAGAAGGGCUUCUAGCCUCACCCUCUUUCUACAGCUCAGCUCUAGUUCCUAACUGGCAUGACUGUGACAUCAUGACAGCGUUAGGAAUGCCAUCCACUGUGAACCAUACACGCUCACCGCCGUAGCUCACCACACCCGUGAAAGGCAGGCUGAACAAUCCUUUCAGCAGGUCCCUAGCUGGAGAACUGCUCUACCAUUCCCUAAAUUCGAACACUAGCUGGUCCUGCAGACAUGCUCACUGGGGUAGGAAAAGGAGAGGAGCCACUGUGGCUCUGAGGCUCCUAGUGUCUAAUCUGAAGCACAAUGGUCUUCAGAGUUGAAAACUAAAGAGAGAAAAAGGAACCAGUUGAUCUGGAUACUGCAAAUUGCUUUUAAAAAAGAUUUAUUGCAUUGUUUGUGACUGUGUGUGUGUGUGCGAGUGUGUGGGUGCCUGUGACUGUGUGUGUGUGUAUGUGUGUGUGAGUAGGUGUGGGUGCCUGUGACUGUGUGUGUGUGUGUGUGUAUGAGUAGGUGUGGGUGCCUGUGACUGUGUGUGUGUGUGUAUGUGUGAGUAGGUGUGGGUGCCUAUGACUGUGUGUGUGUGUGUGUGUGUGUGUGUGUGUGUGUGAGUAGGUGUGGGUGCCUGUGACUGUGUGUAUGUGUGUGUGAGUAGGUGUGGGUGCCUGUGACUGUGUGUGUGUGUGUGUGUGUGUGUGUGUGUAUGAGUAGGUGUGGGUGCCUGUGACUGUGUGUGUGUGUGUGUGUGUGUGUGUGUGUGUGUAGGUGUGGGUGCCUGUGACUGUGUGUGUGUGUGUGUGAGUAGGUGUGGGUGCCUGUGACUGUGUGUGUGUGUGUGUGUGUGUGUGUGUGUGCGCGCACACGCGCGCGCCUAUGGGAGCUGGGGGGGGUCUGACCUCCUGUAGCUGGAGUAGAAGUGGUUGUGAGCUGUCCCAUAUGGAUGCUGGGCAUUGAUCUCAGGGCCUCUACACAAGAGGUACAGACUCUUAACUGCUGAGCCACCUCUCCAGCCUCUGUAAGCUAAUUACCUUUAAUAUGUUUUUAAAAGCACACAAGAGCGAGGCCAUCUGGUUCCAUUAUGCAGACAGCACUGUUUUGGGAAGUGAUGCGUCUGUACUGAGACACUGCACUGUCCUUCUUCUGCAGAGAGGCUGGACAGGUUUUCUCUUCAGAUGUAGUUUUACCUCAUUGGCAAACAACACCCGGUUGUCUGAGCUGAAUGAACACUCAGGGCCUCAGACUUACGGAUAAUGUUCUUCCUGACAAGACAAGCUCCCCACAGAGGGACCCCGGCAGUACCUGCAGGGAUGUCACAAAGAGCGAACAGCCCGACUCGGACAUCUCCAUUCACGGUCCACUUCUGUGUCUCACAGUUUGGAUUACAACUGUGGUUCAUGAAACGAGAAUAAUUUCCCUUUGGUCCAGCAUCAAUUAUACGGUCCUUCAGAAAGAAACAAAGUGGGGGGACUGUGACAUAAACUAAAUACAAACUCGUUUAGAAACAUUCAGUUAGGGAACACAAGUCAGUAUCAUCAUCAGCUGGUGUGUGCCAACUGUCAGCUCUGAAAACACUCCGGACACCCUCUAUGGAGUCACCUCGCUCUCUACUUGAGGGCUUUUAAUGGUCGUCUAACAGGUGAAGAUCAGCAGGUCAUAGGUUUAGGCGUUUUUGACCACAGAGCUACAUGGUUCAGAUAACCCAUCUCAGCCAGGCAUUUUGUCUCGGCUUCUCUCCCACUCAGGAGAGAUGAGAUUACACCAUGACGGAGAAGCCAGAUGAGACUGUCCCUGAGUGGGAGGUGACAGUCCUUCAUCUCUGUACUCUCACAGGGUUACCUACACAGACACUACCACACAAUUAGGCCUGAGGAUGGCUCUAUCAAUGUGGGUAGCUCCACGGCCUGAGCCCACAGGACACUGUCACUGAGCUGAGCUCAGGAAUCCUAGGACUCACAGACAGACUCCAGCAUAACAGUGGCAGCGGAAUUCACCCUGGGAAACACGUGGAAGCUUAAACUCUUCACACACUGACAUAACUACAUAUGUUAUAUCUUCCUUCUUUCUUUUUUGAGAUAGUGUCUCACAAUAUGACUCUGGCUCGUGUGGAACUCGCUCUACAGACCAGGCUGUCCUUGAACUCGGAGAUCUGCCUGCCUUUGCCUCUGCCUCAAACGUGCCAGAAUUAAAGGUGUGCGCCACCAUGUCCACGAUCUCUUUUACGAUCUCUUUUACUGCUUUUCGUUGGCUUUCUGCCAUGUUUUUGCCUGUGAUGAGGCUCAAACCCACAGCCUCGCAUAUAUCCAGCACAUGCUUUAGCACUGAGCCACGACCCCAGCCCGGAAGGUAUUCUGACUCUUUUAGAAACAUCAUGGAACACAGGGAACACGGGUACUAGUCUUGGUCGUUAAAGUGUGAUAGUAUACUAAACAACGACUGAAUUGUGCCUAGGCCUGGGCUUCCUGUCCUCUGUAAGGACAACUGUAAGAAGUGAGGUCCUAGCUGUGAGAAGACAGGCAAGUACAGAUCAAUCUAACGGUCACAUACAGUCUUCAAGGUUGUUUCCUUUUCUGAGUCUGUUUCUCUUUUAUUUAGACAGGAUCAUAAUUAUGUAGCCCAGGCUGGCCUCUAACUAAAGCUGAUGACCCUCCUGCCUUAACCUCCCAAACGCUGGGAUGUGCCACAAUGCCUGGCUAAAAUUGUAUUUAAACUUCCAUUGUUCUUAUGCCAACAUUCAUUGUUUUCCUGUCGCUUGUUCUACGUGUAUAGUGUUGCCUGCAUGUAUGUGUGUGAAUCACAGAGUCCCUGGUGCCCUUAGAGAUAAGAUAUCAGAUCCCCUGGGAAUGAAGUUCCAGAUUGUGUGCCAGCAUGUGGGAGUUUAGAACUGAACCCCAGUUUUCUGCAAGAGCAACGAAUGUUCCCAACCAUGGAGUUAUUUCUCUGACCCUCCUGUUAUUUUUUUUAAAACUUAAUAAACAGAGAAAAGUUUUGAGGUUUUGGCUAAUCAGAAGUUUCAAGAUUAUUUUAUAACUCAGAAUCAUACUUGAUUUUUCCAGCAGUGAUAAAGAACCCAGGGCUCUUGCUGCCUCAGAUCUAGGACUAGGACCCAGCAACUGAGUCCAGACGUGGUCACUUUGUUUCUGCUUAGCAUUUCCCUGUAGUUGGAGUCUUGCACUCCGGAGAUAAUUACAGCACUGACUACUGACCAUCGUCAUAGUCUACUUAGAGAAAGUGAAAUGAACAGAAACCUAGGUCAACAGAAAAUUAUGAACAAAACAUAAAACGUCCUUUUGUCUUACCAAAAAAUAAAAGCAAUUUUACCUUGGUAACAGUUAACAUAUAAAAAUUAGUUACACUGUUCUCGUGGGCUCGCUUGAUUCGAAGUCUGCACUCUUCCUCGUCGAUUAGUUCACCGACAUAUUCGUUUACAAAUUCCCCCUGCAAAGCAACAUUCAACACAGAACUGUAAUAUCAGCUCUACUGUAACGCACAUCCUAAUACCACAAGUAUGAACAAGAACAUCAACUAAAAACAUUUCUGAGGGCCAGGACUGUAAUUCAAUUAGCAGAAUUCUUGCCUAGCUUGUGCAAAGCCAUGGGUUCAAUCCCUAACAGCAUAUAAACUGGGCAUGGGGGUGCACGCCUAUAACCCCAGCCCUGGGAAAGCGUGGGCAGGUGCAUCAUCAGUUCAGUCCCCCUCUGUGGAUUUCAGGGCCAGCCUAGACACAUAAAAUCUUAAAGCCCAGGACUGGGGGACAGUAAUGGCUUGGUGUGUGACCUGAGUGUGAUGCUGUGAACCACAUGAGGGAAAUGAGCAAUGUCCUAACUUUCACCGGGCACCACAGCGUGCAUGUGUGGGUCUGCCUAUGCCUAUGCUCAGACAGAGCUGUGAGAUGACUCAGUCGGUCAAACACUCGCCUCACAAAUGUGAUGACCUAAGCUCAGGUCCCCAGAAACUAAGUAAGAGGCCAAGCCUGGUAGCACAUGCCGUGUUGUUGGGAAAUCUAGAGACAGUGAAGCUCACUGGCCAGCAUGGAGAAGGUCCAGGCCGUGAGAAACCCUGUUUGUCCUUGUUUGGCCUGUUGUCAACUACCCAGGAGCUUGAACCGUCUGGGAGGAGGAACCUCGACUGAGAAAACAUCUGGUUAGUGACUGGUGUGGAAGACCCAGCUCACUGUGAGCGCUCUUCCGGCAGUGGUCCUGAUGGUCUAGGAAGCAGGCUGGCCAGGCAUGGCGGCACACACCUUUAUUUCCAGCACUCGGGUGGGAGAGUCUGCGUACUGAAUCGCAAGACAACCAGAGCUUUAAAACAAACAAAGCAAGCGACUGAGCCUUGGGUUCUGCUUCACUUCAGGCCUUGAGUUCUUGCCCUGAACUCCUUUCAUGGUGGACUACAACUGUAAGGUAAAGUGAAACUUUUCCUCUCCAGUUUGCUAACGAAGACACAUUAGUCAUGAAAGCACCUUAGAAACAGCACCCGGACUGUCACCUGACAUCUACAGGUGUGACACACAUGCCCUCACGCCUACAAAAAACAAAGAGAAAAAGAUCCUGACCCCCUCAACCCUAGGAACUGCGGGUUACUACUGAUUCACUGGUACUUGGGUGGCGGGAACAGCGCUGUGUAAGUACUUCAAAGGCGGUGAUGCACUUGCCUUCUCUCUGAUAUUAUCUCCACAUUCCCAAGUGGCACCUGUGGCAUGUCACUACACUUGGAGUAAAGCUAACCUGACUCGUCAUCACUAUAGUCACAAACUUCUACUUGUUUGUAACCGAGGGACUGGUGGCAUUUAGGGAUGAGAAAUGGGAACGGUGUGGAUCUGAACAGACAGGGUACGUCUGCUCUCUAAACGAUUAUAUUUACAGCUAAAGAACAUGCAGUGGUUCUGCUGUUCUCUCGGGGUUCUCCAGUGAUAACAUCUCACAGAUCUACAAUAGUACUAAUACUAGGAAGCUGGUGUUGGCACCCACCCACUCAGACACGGAGUCCUGCUGCCACAAAACCAUGCUCCAGAUGUAUGAACAGCACGGGAUAUCUCCAAUUUUUCUUUGACGGCCACACCCACCCUCCAUCAGUAUAAUUAUGCCAUUCAAGGAUGUUCUAUAAACAGAUUUAUCUAAUAUGUAAUCUUUUGACACUGUUUUUUUUAAAGAUUUGCUUUUUAAAAAUUAUUUAAGUGUAUGGAUAUUUUGCCUGCAUGUAUAUAUCUGUGCACCACUUGCAUGCCUGGUGUCCUCUGAGGCCAGAGAGGGCACUGGGUCCCUUGGAACUACAGUUACAGAUGGCUGUGAGCUGUCAUGUGGUUGCUGGGAAUCGAGCAUGGUUCUCUAGAAGAUCAGUCCGUGGUCUUGGCUGCUAAGCCAUCUCUCCAGCUCCUAAAGACGUGAUUUACUGCAGGAUGGCUUCUGACCUCUGCAGGCACCAAGCAGGCACACAGAGCAAAUACAUACGUAUAGAAAACACUAACGCAUAAAAUAAUUAAGGAUUUUUUUACUUUACGUGUAUGAAUGUUUUGCCUGAGUGUGUGUGCACACAAGCAUGCACAUACAGUGUCCAGAGAGGCUGGAAGAGGGGUUCAGAUGCCCAAGAACUGGAGUUCAGAUAGUUCUGUGUAGAUGCUGGGACUCAAACCUGGAUCCUCUGUGAGAGUAGCAAGUGCCCCUAAUGACUCAGCUGUCUCUACAGCUAUGAGGCUAGCAACAAAUAAAAUGAAGCUUAAAAAAAAAAGCAGCUAAUUCUCGGUCACCCACGUGUGCUUCAGUGCUUUAAGGCUCAGUAGACCCCGCAGUGUGGCUGUGCCACCAUUUGUUUGACUCUUCACCCCCUGCAGAAGACUGGUCAGUCUUUCUAGAUUUUUGCUAUGAUACCUAUAGCUGUUGUACACAUUUGGGAAGAGUUUCCAUUUGAUUAUAGCUUUUCAUUUUCCUGGUUUAAAUAGGCAGUGGGAAGAUCUGUUGUACAGUGCAGUAUGUGUGUGUGUAAAGAAUCUGGCAACCUACAGUGGCUGCUCCAUUUAAGCUCCCACCACCGAUACGGAAGAGUCCAGGACUCCUGUAUCCUUGAAAGACUUUGGCAUUGUCCUGGCUGCUCUAAGUGAUGCUAGUCAGCUCCUUGGGGUUAUGUUGUCCCUGACCUCGUCACCUUGGAAGUCACACUCACUCAGCCUCGGGCAGCUGUAUUAGCUAAAACUCGACAGCAUUUCAAACUCAGAGGAACAAGUAUUUUAAUGGAUAUUCACUUCAUAUACAAAUUCUCCUCAGUUCUCAUUGUAGGACUGCUGCGAGUAAAUAUCAGUAAUGUCCGUGUCGCUCUCCUGCACUGAAGACCUAUGGCCUUGUGUCCGUGUCGCUCUCCUGCACUGAAGACCUAUGGCCUUGUGUCCGUGUCGCUCUCCUGCACUGAAGACCUAUGGCCUUGUGCUGGAAUAGGCCCCGACCUAGCACUUUUCCCUUUCUCAUAAACCCUCCUUUCUCCAGGCAAAGUUGUUCUCUUAAACUCCAAGUGUGCCAGGUCCUCAAGGCUGCCCCAUAUCCUGUUUCUGAUUCAUGCCAUUCAUUGUGUGAUCCCCUCUUCUAAGAACGUGGCAACAGUGAUGUCGUGCAUGGGCUAACAAGGCCUUGCUGUCUAAGAUCUCAAGGUCUGCCAUGCUAAGUGGAGUCUCUCUUAUGCCUACGCUGGGAACCUCAGGUAGUGAGGAACUGGGGAAGCCACUGAAAGUUAAGACUCAUUAUUGACCAGGAACAGAAGAAAAAACAUCUCAAAGCACAACGAACUCAGACCACAGCAACAAAGAAUGGAGCUCUCCAGCCGCCAGGUAAGCCAAGGAGGCAAGCCUGGCUGACUCGCAACCCUGAAUGAGGAAGCAGCUGAGCAUGAGCACAGCCCGACCCAUGGCCCCUGCCAACUAUGAUGAUGCAACCUGUGUCACAGUUCUACUGUUCACUCCUGUAUGUGCUUGAUGUCCUGACACCGUGCAUGUGCACGUCUAGUGCCCAUGGAGGCCUGAAGAGGGUGUUAGAUCCCCUGGGACUGAAGUUACAGAUGGUUGUGAGCCACCGUGUGGAUGCUCAGUGCUGCAAUUGAACCUGGGUCCUGUGUAAAAGCAGCGGUGCUCAUACCACCGAGCCACCUCUCCAGCCCCUUAAGUGCUACGUGUUCUGCUUUUGAGACAGGGUCUUUCUUUUAAGGUCAGGCCGGAAUUCCCAAGUUUAUAUAGACCAGGCCAGCAUCAAGUUCUUGAUGGUCCUCCUGCUCCAGCCUCUCGAGUAAUAGAAACGAGUGUGAGUACCACAGUCAGGUUUAAGUCCCUGGCUUUGUGGUCAGAGAACCAGCGUGCGAUGUCAGGAAGUCACCCUCCUAAAGUCAUCCAGUAGUUCUUGCCUCAAGGACUGCUUUAGACCUGCUCUUGGCUCGCUGUCUCAGUGCAUGCCCUGUUACCACUGUCUCCAUCACUAGUGUCCAGACUCAGUUUGCUUCUGUAGCUUGGGUCCUCUGUGAGAGCAGGAAGCACGCUUUAUACCAACUCAUCUCCUGGCCUCCCCACUUUUUAGAUUCAUUGCUUAUUUUCUGUAUAUGAGUGCUUUGCCCGCAUGUGUGUAUAUAUGUGCACCACAUGUGCCUGUUGGUGCCCAGGUCAGAAGGGGGCAUUGGAUGCCGUAGAACUGGGAGGUGCUUUGCAAGAGCCACGAGUGCUUUAUGUCUCCAGCCCCUGGUUCCCUGGUCGGUCCCUCCCUCCCUUCCUUCCUUCCUUCCUUCGAAACAGGGUCUCCCUAUCUAGCCUUUGUUGUCCUAGAACUCACUAUGUAGAUCAGGCUAGCCUUGAACUCAGAGAUCUGCCUGCCUCUGCCUCCUGAGUGCUAGGGUUAAAGGCACACACCGCCCUCCCCACAGUUGGUUUCUUGACAAGAGCCACAGGAGAUUCUCAGGUACUCUAAAAGCUAAGACCCAUCUUUGAAUAGUAGGGUUUACUAGAGACUUUCCUUUUAAGCAUUUUGGCUUUAAAAUAGUCUCCAACUGGUAUCUCUUCCCUGUGCUAGAGAUUCUUGUGAAAAACUGUCUCGAGGUGUGAAAAUAAAAAUACGUCCCAGAGUUCUAUUAUCCCAGCUGCUUCACCACUCUAAUUGUAAUCUGAGGCCUUUAACGAGCUCUGACUUCUUAACUAAUGCGAUGGACUAGUGGUCUAGUCUACCUUAGUGAUCUGGGACUCGGUCACACUUAUGGCUAAUGACUUGAGCCUGCAGCACAGUUCUGUGUUCGCAAGUUUCUGCCCUAGUGGGUAAUCAACUUUACUACGUUGCUUCUCUGACAUGUUUAUCCACCAUGAAAAGCAGCAACAAGAAAAUAUGUUUGAAUCAUGUCAUUCAAUAAUUUAAAAAAAACCACAAAUACAAAAAAGCACGAUGCCCCUUCUGUUUAAAGCUCAUCAAUUAAUAGCCAUGGGCUAUGUAUCCUGUUUGCCUUUCCCAACUCUUGUUGCUCAACAAAUGCCAAACCUUGAGAUAAGUCGCAGCUUUCUGUCGUAAGCGCUGUGCGUCUUAUAGCCAUGUCACAAUGCUAUGGAAGCGCCCGAAGAGACAAGGGUGGCAUUACCUUUUUAAUACUUCUUUUGGUUCUGAGGCCCCAUCCUCUCCGCUCAGUUUUGAUGAUCUCUGCAUCGGGGUACAGCCUCUUUGUAAAGCACUGGUUCUGACAGCGGUCCCCAGCAGGGCACACCUGCGGGUGACACUCGUACUGUGACAUUCUGUUUAGACACUCCGACUCCAGGCCACAUGGGUUUUCAUCACCAGGCUUGCAGUUACAGCGCGGGAUCUCCGACAGGUCAGCCACCUGGAUCUGCACCUUCCCUAUGACUUUGUUGGCCUGGGACAACCGAGGAAGAGAAGCGGGAGAGAAGGUAUGGAUCUGUGAGCACCAAGAACUAAACAUCUGAGUGCUGUGAUGUGACUGAGGAAAGUUCUUUAUCUGAUGUCUCCAGAAUAAACUAGGAGUAUUAACUGUCUAUUCUGGACAGAAAGCCUGGAGCUGAUGUCAAGUCUCAGUUUUUCCCCACUUGCCACAGGUUGAUGAAAUUUAGUACCUGAAAUCCAGAGACAAUAAGCUAUUUAUGAAGUCUGAGGAAGAGAGAGGCUAAGGUGCUACGUCCUCAUUUGAUUGCAGGGUGGUCUGGUAGAAACAACAUAAAGAGGCUUUGACCGGCAGGAAGGGGAGCGCUCACCUUGAUGUGUUUGUAGGGAGGGGGUUUUCUUGAGGUUUUCUCUAUCUCCAAAGCCUCCUUACUCUCUCGCUGCGCUUUCAACUCCUGGAAACGUUUUGCAGCUUCUUCCAGUGCUGACAAAAGCAAGCAGGCCAUUAUCAAAGUGUGAGGACACAGGGCUAGGGCAGGAGGCUGACUCUACCACCCUAGAAAGAAAUGUUCUGCCUCUCGCCUGAGCUUUACUCUUUAAAAUUAUGUUUUAGAGAUCACCAGUCACCACCAUUAUAGAGGAAAUAAUAAAUUAGCACAUGACCAACCAAAUACUAUGCUUUGUAUAUGUGUCAGAGCACAAGUCCGACAUCAAUGACAAAGACCUCUGAGCGACCCUAUUAAGAGCACUUGUGUAUCCUGUCCUAGCUUUAAAUUAAUUUUACCUUUACUCAGAAGUGUAGACUUCAGCCGAAUUUCCUGGGAAGCCCUCACUGCUUGUUUGUGGUAAUGGCGUUUGGCCUGAUUAGAGACACUUCAAACCCAGCUCAGGGACCCAGGCUUUAUGCAUCUUGACCCUGGUCCUGAUGUCACAGGACGUUUAUGGACGGAAAAUCCCAGUGCCUGGUGGACAUUCUUGAGUGGCAGAGGCUUUGUGUGCACACAGAAGUGCACAUCUGAGUGUUGAUUCUGAGUCCCUGUAACCAUGGUCCGACUUACCUUUUUUGAAGGUCUUGUUAAUGCUAGUCUGUCCCUCAGCAAAGUUUGUGUCUCCUUCAACAUAGGGAAACACUCUGCCUUGGUGGACCCAGUAGUAGUCAUGAGAGCCAAAGAAGAGCACAGGGAAGUCGCCCACGCCGUGCUUAAGGCCCUGGAUGUUCAGCGGCACAGACCUGGGACUGCAGGUCUCUGCAGGCCACCAUCUGAGGACAAAACCGAGAAGAGAAAAUGUCUGACUGCCUGAGCUGGGGUCACAGGAGGCUGCGUGCACCGGACGUGGGUUCCAGGGACAGAAACAGAUCUCCAGGGCAGCAAGUGCCCGUCACCAUCUCUGCAGCUCCUGUUCUCAUGCCUUUAAGAACCAAGGCGUGGGCUGGGGAGGUGGCUCAACGGUAAAGCUAUUGAGACUGACCUCCUGAGUUCUCUUGGGUAGGAGAGACCCAGUUCCUGAAAGCUAUUCUCUGACCCUAAAAUUAUACUAUGGCCCUUGCGUGCCCCACAUAAUAAACAGACAGACACGAACAAA
Rattus norvegicus (Norway rat) is the source of this 10825-nucleotide non-coding RNA. The record is from RefSeq and is a predicted model, not a curated record. NCBI's taxonomy places the organism in Eukaryota, Metazoa, Chordata, Mammalia, Rodentia, Muridae.